UGUAAAGACAGGCAAAGUAAGAUCUAACGGGAUGCAGGAAAACCCUAUACAAAUCGUAAGGGUCAAGAAAAGCUGUCCAAAAGAGGUAUGUGGAAGAACUGUAUAUCAAACAAUCAAGCUAGCUAUUUAUAGAGUACAGUAACUAACAUGAAUGUUCUGGGUUGUCUAAUUUGUAACUAUAGAGAAAACAUAUUAGCUGAAGUUCGUUGGCUACUAACUUAUACAUUAUCGUUACAAAUGUUAUUGCUAGAUUAUAGAAGAAACAUAGCUAGCUACUUUUUCUCCAUCCACCGGAUGAUUCGACGUGGCUACAGUAGCUAGCUAGUUAUAUGUAACAUUACACUGUAUCCUGCAGGGAUUGCACACCGAGGGUCCAUUGAGGUGGCAAGCUGCAUAUUGAAGUGGGUGAAGACAAAAUUCACGGCACUCACCAAACCAGAGGUGCGCAAGUUGAUCACCUUCAGUGACAGAUGCUGUGGGCAGAAUAACAACUGGCUCAAUCUGAUGUCAAUGCUCGUCUCUAUGGGUUACUUUACCCAAGUUGAGCAGAAGUUCAUGGUCGGGCUCCUGGGUGGCGCAGUGGUCUCGGGCACUGCAUCGCAGCGCUAGCUGUUCCACCAGAGACUCUGGGUUCGCGCCCAGGCUCUCGCAGCCGGCCACGACUGGCAGGUCCGUGGGGCGAUGCACAAUUGGCCUAGCGUCGUCCGGGGUAAGGGAGGGUUUGGCCGGCGACUCCUGUGGUAGGCCGGGCGCAGUGCACGUAACCAAGGUCUCCAGGUGCACGGUGUUUCCUCCGACACAUUGGUGCGGCUGGCUUCCGGGUUGGAUAUGCGCCGUGUUAAGAAGCGUGCGGCUUGGUUGGGUUGUGUUUCGGAGGACGCGUGGCUUUCGACUUUCGUCUCUCCCGAGCCCGUACGUGAGUUGUAGCGAUGGACACCACAAAAUUGGGGAGAAAAGGGGAUUUUAAAAAAAGAAGUCAUUCUUUUUCUUCCUUGUGAUCGAUCUUUAGCCACCAUCGAGAAGAGGCGCAAGGUGUCAGUCCUUCAUACACCUGAUUAUGUUUCAAAGAUGAUACUUGAAGCACAACCAGCAAAACCAUUCAAGGUGAUGAGGAUGCAAUGUGAAGACUUCAGGCACCUCCCAGAUUCUGUCCCCCAGCUGGACUACAGAUGACCUCAGUGAGGUGGUUAAAAGUCAGUUGAGGAUCCUUGGAAUCUGUACGCCAGACAGAGCCACAGUCUAUUCGAAGGAUGGAAAUCGUGGCUGAUCUCCAAAUCAAAACAAGGAGCUACACCUCAACCUCCCUAUUUUGCAAGCCACUACCCUAGAGCAUAUAAGAGUCCUCUGCCCAUCAAAAAAAAACAAGUACCAAGAUCUGAUGACCUGCUCAACUACUUGCCAGCUGCUGCACGCUCUUUUUAUAAAUCACUGCAGAGUGAAUAAUUUGUUAAACCAUGCAACAUAAUUAACUGUUUUUCCUGUGAGUUUAUGAUCCCCUGAACCUGUAUAGUAUGUUGAAUCUGAAUACAUUUCAGUAGACAUGUCACCCCUAUUGUAGGAAAUUAAAUGUAUAGUAAGUAGGUGUUUUCUAUGUGAAUCAAUUUGUGCAUGAUUUGAACCAGCACAAUAUAUUGAAUUUAAUUUUAAGAUGUUGUUCCUAGUGUAUAAAAUGUUAUGUACAAUGUGUUCUGUUGAGAAUUAUUUUGUGAACCUUUUUUAAUUUGAACCUUUUUUAAUCUGAAUGAAUUAAAAACAUAAGUCGUCA
This is a long non-coding RNA of Oncorhynchus keta (chum salmon), 1765 nucleotides long. RefSeq lists it as uncharacterized. The transcript has 2 exons. NCBI's taxonomy places the organism in Eukaryota, Metazoa, Chordata, Actinopteri, Salmoniformes, Salmonidae. The record is from RefSeq and is a predicted model, not a curated record.